This 254-nucleotide ribosomal RNA is filed under the name uncultured bacterium. Its description in RNAcentral is "partial 16S ribosomal RNA". It matches the Rfam family "Bacterial small subunit ribosomal RNA", at positions 524 to 776 of the family's 1533-position model. The record is from RNAcentral.
UACGUGGGGUGCAAGCAUUAUCCGGAUUUACUGGGCGUAAAGCGUACCGUCGGUGGUUAUGUAAGUCUUUUGUUUAAGCCUGGGGCUCAACUCCAGAAAAGCAGGGGAAACUACAUGACUUGAGUCUGUUCGGGGAACUUGGAAUUCUCGGUGGAGGGGUGAAAUCCGUAGAUAUCGAGAGGAACACCAUACGCGAAGGCAGAGUUCUAGGACACGACUGACACUCAGGGACGACAGCUCGGGGAGCAAAUGGG